Molecule: non-coding RNA, 124 nt
Organism: Chelonoidis abingdonii (Abingdon island giant tortoise)
Lineage: Eukaryota; Metazoa; Chordata; Testudines; Testudinidae
Source: RefSeq, a predicted model, not a curated record
AUGUCACUUACCUAGUUAUACCUUACAUUUUUUUUGCCACUUUUAGGGGCCCCCUUCCUUGCGGGGCCUCCUCCGCUCGGAGGGUACGGAGGGUGCUCGCUACGCCUCUGAUGGGAAACUUUCU